AUGAAUACUUUGGAGCGAAAGUUGGACAAACGUUCGAAGAAAGAUUCCGAAGACAACGCCAUUGUGGGAAAGAGAAUCCGUGUUGCCAAACGUCUGUGGGAGGAUGAGGAUGAGGAUGACCCCCCUACUGCCGUGGCCACAGUCAGUGGAACCAAAGCUGCCAUUCACAAUCAAGGGGCUGAAAUCCUAGAUUCCAUUUCCUUGGAAGAACAAGCAGAAAAUAGUGACAACGAGCUCUCACUUGUGCGUCAAGAAUUGCUAGAAAUAAAAAAAUUCAUCUUUACAGAGAUACCUCAGAUAAAAGAAAUGCUCAACAGAAGCUCCAUGCACCUCGGCAGUCCAGGGUCUCUCCCCAGCCCUUCAAACCCUGUUCAAAUAGAGGGGAAUCCAAGGUUUCAAAGGGGGGAGAUGGGGAGAAAAGAAGCGCCCUGGAUGAAAUAAAAGUGAAAGCUAUAAUGGAUGCUGUUAUGUCAAGACACUCAGUUUCGACUGGCCAGAUCGGAGCAGCCCUGAAUGGGAAGAUGGCAGAACUAAGACUGGCAAUGUCCAGGAAAAAUGUUCAUUAAAAAUGAGUGUUUCCCGAGUGAGUCAAAAAUCUGAAGUUGAAAUUAAAAAGUUUUUACUUGAAAAGUUUGUAUACUGAACAAAAUGCAUUAAAGUUUUUAUUUGAAAAGACCUGGAAUUGUGUGUUCUGAACAAAAUGCAUUAAAGUUUCUAUUUGAAAAGACCUGGAAUUGUGUGUUCUGUGGAAUGAGUAUAAAUAUAUAUGCAGGAUGUAUAAAAAACAUAGUUGUACCACUAAUAUAAGUGAAAGUACAUGGUGUCAUCAUAUAAGAAGCAUAUUUGUAUCCCUAAUAUAAGUGAAAGUACAUGGUGUCAUCAUAUAAGAAGCAUAUUUGUAUCCCUAAUAUAAGUGAAAGUACAUGGUGUCAUCAUAUUAGAAGCAUAUUUGUAUCCCUAAUAUAAGUGAAAGUAUGUACUCUAGAAAUAAAUACAUAUAUGCAUGUAUACAUAUAUGCGUCUUGCAUAUAUUUCACAUAUAUGUGCAUAUAUGCGAAAAUAUAUGGCACUUACAUGAAAACGGCCAUUUUUGAUAUAUUUUGAAAUAUAUGUUUCAUAUAUGUCUAUGUGUUUUACAUAUAUGAGUUUUGCAUAUAUUCUCAUAUAUGCAGCAGACAUACAUGGGCACUGAUAUUAUAUAUGUAAUUUACAUAUAUUGACAUAUAUUACAUUUCUGUAUGGGGGAAGUGGCUGACUUUGGG
Molecule: long non-coding RNA, 1262 nt
Filed under: Carassius auratus (goldfish)
Lineage: Eukaryota; Metazoa; Chordata; Actinopteri; Cypriniformes; Cyprinidae
Description: lncRNA (ENSCARG00000034357.1)
Source: RNAcentral